GACGAACGCUGGCGGCGUGCUUAACACAUGCAAGUCGAACGGAAAGGCCCUGCUUUUGUGGGGUGCUCGAGUGGCGAACGGGUGAGUAACACGUGAGUAACCUGCCCUUGACUUUGGGAUAACUUCAGGAAACUGGGGCUAAUACCGUAUAGGAGCUCCUGCUGCAUGGUGGGGGUUGGAAAGUUUCGGCGGUUGGGGAUGGGCUCGCGGCUUAUCAGCUUGUUGGUGGGGUAGUGGCUUACCAAGGCUUUGACGGGUAGCCGGCCUGAGAGGGUGACCGGCCACAUUGGGACUGAGAUACGGCCCAGACUCCUACGGGAGGCAGCAGUGGGGAAUAUUGCACAAUGGGCGGAAGCCUGAUGCAGCAACGCCGCGUGCGGGAUGACGGCCUUCGGGUUGUAAACCGCUUUCGCCUGUGACGAAGCGUGAGUGACGGUAAUGGGUAAAGAAGCACCGGCUAACUACGUG
This 468-nucleotide ribosomal RNA is filed under the name uncultured bacterium. Its description in RNAcentral is "partial 16S ribosomal RNA". It matches the Rfam family "Bacterial small subunit ribosomal RNA", at positions 28 to 507 of the family's 1533-position model. The record is from RNAcentral.